This 360-nucleotide unclassified non-coding RNA is filed under the name uncultured Diversispora. RNAcentral describes it as "sequence contains ITS1". The stretch from base 1 to 106 matches the Rfam family "5.8S ribosomal RNA", at positions 50 to 154 of the family's 154-position model. The record is from RNAcentral. Lineage: Eukaryota; Fungi; Glomeromycota; Glomeromycetes; Diversisporales; Diversisporaceae.
GAAAUGCGAUACGUGAUGUGAAUUGCAUACUCGUGAAUCAUCGAAUCUUUGAACGCAAAUGGCGCUCGGCCGCUUCGGUGUGCCGAGCAUGUCUGUUUGAGGGUCAGUUUCACCUGCUUUGCUUUUCUUUUCCUUUUUCAAAAAAGGGGGGGAAUAGCAAGACGAUGCGUGUUCACUUGUUCAAAACGAGUGAUCAUGUGAAACGGAUAUAUAAAACCUUGGAAACAGACUCGGGCGAACGUUCCGGGGUCCCGACCUCUUAUACUACAACGGGACCAAACGGAAGCAUCACCGGGCUAUUUCUUGACAAACUUUUAUAACAAUGACCUCAAAUCAGGCAAGAGCACCCGCUGAACUUAA